AAAUAAAAAUAAAAAUGAAAUCAAGAAAGGCUAUUUGCACAACAAGGGCAAAUUUUGUUCUCUAAUUUUAAAAUAGCCAUGCAUACCAAAAUAAAUGGGAUAUUGAGAAACUAUCAAUUGGAGAUGAAACUGACAUCUUGAACUUAUUUUAGGUGCAAAAAUCACAAAAAGGUGAAAGUUUCACUAAGAUAUGAUGUCUUAAAAAUGGGGUAUGUGUAGAUAUGUGUGUAAUUAGAGGC
Molecule: unclassified non-coding RNA, 239 nt
Filed under: Hevea brasiliensis (rubber tree)
Lineage: Eukaryota; Viridiplantae; Streptophyta; Magnoliopsida; Malpighiales; Euphorbiaceae
Source: RNAcentral